RNAcentral lists this transfer RNA (72 nucleotides) under Ixodes scapularis (black-legged tick). RNAcentral describes it as "tRNA-Glu for anticodon CUC". It matches the Rfam family "tRNA". Rfam says of the family: Transfer RNA (tRNA) molecules are approximately 80 nucleotides in length. Their secondary structure includes four short double-helical elements and three loops (D, anti-codon, and T loops). Further hydrogen bonds mediate the characteristic L-shaped molecular structure. tRNAs have two regions of fundamental functional importance: the anti-codon, which is responsible for specific mRNA codon recognition, and the 3' end, to which the tRNAs corresponding amino acid is attached (by aminoacyl-tRNA synthetases). tRNAs cope with the degeneracy of the genetic code in two manners: having more than one tRNA (with a specific anti-codon) for a particular amino acid; and 'wobble' base-pairing, i.e. permitting non-standard base-pairing at the 3rd anti-codon position. The record is from RNAcentral. Lineage: Eukaryota; Metazoa; Arthropoda; Arachnida; Ixodida; Ixodidae.
UCCGGCGUGGUCUGGUGGCUAAGAUACCUGGCUCUCACCCUGGAGGCCCGGGUUUGAUUCCCGGCGUGGGAA